GCCUUCGUGGUGUAGUGGUCAGCACGUUUGGCAGGUAAUCGAAAAAAGGUCCAUGGUUCAAUUCCCGGCAAAGGUG
This 76-nucleotide transfer RNA is filed under the name Stegodyphus mimosarum. It matches the Rfam family "tRNA". From Rfam's summary of the family: Transfer RNA (tRNA) molecules are approximately 80 nucleotides in length. Lineage: Eukaryota; Metazoa; Arthropoda; Arachnida; Araneae; Eresidae. The record is from Rfam by way of RNAcentral.